GGCGUCGACCUAAUACAUGCAAGUCGAGCGGAAUGAUGAAGAGCUUGCUUCUUCUGUAUUUAGCGGCGGACGGGUGAGUAACACGGUGGACAACCUACUUGUAGAGUUGGAUAACGUCGGAAACCGGGGCUAAUACCGAAUAAUCCAUUUUGCUUCAUGGCGAGAUGUUGAAAGACGGUUUCGGCUGUCACUACAAGAUGGGCCCGCGGCGCAUUAGCUAGUUGGUAGGGUAAUGGCCUACCAAGGCGACGAUGCGUAGCCGACCUGAGAGGGUGAUCGGCCACACUGGGACUGAGACACGGCCCAGACUCCUACGGGAGGCAGCAGUAGGGAAUCUUCCACAAUGGACGAAAGUCUGAUGGAGCAACGCCGCGUGAGUGAAGAAGGUUUUCGGAUCGUAAAACUCUGUUGUAAGGGAAGAACACGUACGAGAGUAACUGCUCGUACCUUGACGGUACCUUAUUAGAAAGCCACGGCUAACUACGUG
Molecule: ribosomal RNA, 487 nt
Filed under: uncultured bacterium
Lineage: Bacteria
Description: bacterial SSU rRNA
Rfam family: Bacterial small subunit ribosomal RNA
Source: RNAcentral